AUGGCAUUAAACUCAGGUGGAAGUGGGAGGUGGAGAGAGAGGAAGUCUGCAAGAGAAGAUCAGAUCACACCAGACCUAAGUCAGUUUAGGUUGGACAUUUCUGGCAAAGGAUUCAGCAAUGCGAAGGUGUGCAGAUACCUGGGAUAUUAUAAGCAAGGGCUUAAAAAUGAAGUGUCUACUCUGCUGGCUACACUUGAGAUGUUCCCAUGCUAUCAGGACACUCUGCAUGAUGACUUUGGAAGCAAGGAAGCCACCUCCAAUUCACAGAGCUGGUGUAUCUGCCUCAUUCAUGAAAAGACCCACCAAAACCUGAUCCAGUUAACAGGUUCAUGGGGCCUUGGGAGGGUUGCAUCAGAAAUUCAGAAAACACAGCCCCGAGCCACGCAGCCAUCUGAGCAUCUGGGAAAAAGGAAGGUGCUCAUCAUGCUGGUCGAACACACCCUGUGGCAUUUGCUCUGACUGUGGCUCUCAUACUGUGGCAUUAUAAACUAAGAAGGUUUUUGCUGACCCACCUGACAACAGAAUUGCC
Molecule: long non-coding RNA, 529 nt
Filed under: Piliocolobus tephrosceles (Ugandan red Colobus)
Lineage: Eukaryota; Metazoa; Chordata; Mammalia; Primates; Cercopithecidae
Description: lncRNA (ENSPTEG00000023162.1)
Source: RNAcentral